This 301-nucleotide ribosomal RNA is filed under the name uncultured bacterium. RNAcentral describes it as "partial 16S ribosomal RNA". It matches the Rfam family "Bacterial small subunit ribosomal RNA", at positions 509 to 807 of the family's 1533-position model. The record is from RNAcentral.
CAGUCGCCACGGUAAUACGAAGGGGGCUAGCGUUGUUCGGAAUUACUGGGCGUAAAGCACACGUAGGCUGACAUUUAAGUCAGGGGUGAAAUCCCGGGGCUCAACCCCGGAACUGCCUUUGAUACUGGGUGUCUUGAGUGUGGAAGAGGUCAGUGGAAUUGCGAGUGUAGAGGUGAAAUUCGUAGAUAUUCGCAGGAACACCAGUGGCGAAGGCGGCUGACUGGUCCACAACUGACGCUGAGGUGCGAAAGCGUGGGGAGCAAACAGGAUUAGAUACCCCAGUAGUCCCUGUCUCUUAUAC